This 75-nucleotide antisense RNA is filed under the name Streptomyces paromomycinus. RNAcentral's name for it is "ASpks TB sRNA". It matches the Rfam family "ASpks TB sRNA". Lineage: Bacteria; Bacillati; Actinomycetota; Actinomycetes; Kitasatosporales; Streptomycetaceae. The record is from RNAcentral.
CUUCACCGACCCCAGCCACAGCGGCCGCUCCGCAGGGCGGUCCUGACCGUAGGUGGCCAGGAGGGCCUGGGCCUC